CAAGGGACACAAUGAAAAUGAAAAUGCAAUCUGUCAGUCCUCUCAUCAAGGCGGGUCCUCAGUUAAGACUUCACUUCCUCUUCAGUUGGAAGGCCACUUCAGGUUCUCAUGGUUCAGUUGUGUAUCUAUCAUUCCACAACACUAGGCUGUAACUUCACAACCAAAUGAAAUCUAUCAAUCGAACAGCUCAAGGAUGGAUCUAUACCGACUUCAAACUUGGAACCUACAGGCCAGCAGAGGUGUUUCCUGCCAGGCUGACAGAAGACAACAGAGGACUACAGAACCUCCGGCAGCUUUGCUGCCCUGAAAACAAGACACACAGCACAACAAAGCAGCUUGAGCAGUGCCCUGUAAACCUAAACAUCACUUACAACUGCUGCAAAUGAAAACAAGAGAAGCGGUGGAGCUGAAUUGGAGAUGCAAAUAUCAGAAGCCAAACAUUUUUGAUGAUGUUUAAAAUGCGAUAUUUUUAUUUUGAAACUUGAAAGUUUUACAAGCUAAGCAUUUUAAAGAAGGUCUGCACAAUAAGCAGUGAGCCUUGUGUCACUGUAAAUUGUCUCUGCUGCAGACCUACAUGAUAAAUGAGCACUACUAAGAAGACAAAGUUAAAGCAAAAAUUUGAUGUAUGUGAUUAAGUAAAAUAAAAAUUUUCAUGUUUC
Micropterus salmoides (largemouth bass) is the source of this 659-nucleotide long non-coding RNA. RefSeq lists it as uncharacterized. NCBI's taxonomy places the organism in Eukaryota, Metazoa, Chordata, Actinopteri, Centrarchiformes, Centrarchidae. The record is from RefSeq and is a predicted model, not a curated record. The transcript has 3 exons.